Molecule: ribosomal RNA, 254 nt
Filed under: uncultured bacterium
Lineage: Bacteria
Description: partial 16S ribosomal RNA
Rfam family: Bacterial small subunit ribosomal RNA
Source: RNAcentral
UACGGGGGGAGCAAGCGUUGUUCGGAUUUACUGGGCGUAAAGGGCGCGUAGGCGGCCACUGCAAGUCGGUUGUGAAAUCUCCGGGCUUAACCCGGAAAGGUCAACCGAUACUGCAGGGCUAGAGUGCAGAAGGGGCAACUGGAAUUCUCGGUGUAGCGGUGAAAUGCGUAGAUAUCGAGAGGAACACCUGCGGCGAAGGCGGGCUGCUGGGCUGACACUGACGCUGAUGCGCGAAAGCUAGGGGAGCGAACGGG